RNAcentral lists this long non-coding RNA (259 nucleotides) under Capsicum annuum. RNAcentral's name for it is "long non-coding RNA (CANN_LNC008580)". Lineage: Eukaryota; Viridiplantae; Streptophyta; Magnoliopsida; Solanales; Solanaceae. The record is from RNAcentral.
UUCACGAGAUAAACUUGGACUUAUGAAACAGGGUUACCACCCUGCAAGUAUAUCAAGCUCAUUCAUACCAUACAUCACAAAAAUUUCAGUGAUCAAGCAUGGGUAAAACAGUCAAUAACCUAUAUGCAUGGUAGAUCCAGCAAACUUCACCUUGAAUCACCUUCGCAAGGGCAUCUAUCAACAUCAACCAAACACGGUCUUUAGCUAUCAGUGAACCGCCUGGCAAAUCAUUAUAGGAAGUGUUUAUGAUCGGAUACCA